AUUUUUUUUUUUUUUUUUGUUACUUCCCAUUAUUUUUUUCCAUUGUCAUUCAAAAGUGAUAUUUAUACAAUAGGAAAAUGUUUUUACCAAAAGGGUAUGGGUUGCUUCCACUGUUUCUGACUUCAGAUUCAAGUGUGAAUUCACAAGAUGUACGGAAGCAACAAAUGCCAUUUUUGGCUCUCCCCCUAUGUCGUCUAUAUAUUCUUCUCUAUUUGAUGUGAAUUGUUAAUAGCUAGCUAGGCUAGGCUGCUGCUUCCACUGGGUUGCGUUCAAGUUGAAUAGUAUUCAACUUGUUUGUCAAACUUAUGACAAUUGACAUGUUUCCCAUGUCCUGUUGUUCUCAUCAAUUGCUUCUGCUCAUAAAUUAUUACAUAUAAGAUAUUUUAAUUUUAAUUGUAAUGAAUCUGCAUAAUAAAUGGUUACAAUCUUUUUCUUGCA
RNAcentral lists this unclassified non-coding RNA (438 nucleotides) under Hevea brasiliensis (rubber tree). The record is from RNAcentral. Lineage: Eukaryota; Viridiplantae; Streptophyta; Magnoliopsida; Malpighiales; Euphorbiaceae.